CUACGGGUUGCUCCAGUGGGGAAUAUUGCACAAUGGAGGAAACUCUGAUGCAGCAACGCCGCGUGGAGGAUGACACUUUUCGGAGCGUAAACUCCUUUUAUAUAGGAAGAUAAUGACGGUACUAUAUGAAUAAGCACCGGCUAACUCCGUGCCAGCAGCCGCGGUAAUACGGAGGGUGCAAGCGUUACUCGGAAUCACUGGGCGUAAAGAGCGUGUAGGCGGGUUAAUAAGUCAGAAGUGAAAUCCUAUGGCUCAACCAUAGAACUGCUUUUGAAACUGUUAACCUAGAAUAUGGGAGAGGUAGAUGGAAUUUCUGGUGUAGGGGUAAAAUCCGUAGAGAUCAGAAGGAAUACCGAUUGCGAAGGCGAUCUACUGGAACAUUAUUGACGCUGAGACGCGAAAGCGUGGGGAGCAAACAGGAUUAGAUACCCCUGUAGUC
This 439-nucleotide ribosomal RNA is filed under the name uncultured bacterium. RNAcentral describes it as "partial 16S ribosomal RNA". It matches the Rfam family "Bacterial small subunit ribosomal RNA", at positions 339 to 795 of the family's 1533-position model. The record is from RNAcentral.